This 688-nucleotide non-coding RNA is filed under the name Dirofilaria immitis (dog heartworm nematode). The record is from RNAcentral. Lineage: Eukaryota; Metazoa; Nematoda; Chromadorea; Rhabditida; Onchocercidae.
UAUUAAGUUUGAUUUUGGUUUUAGUUGUAUUAAGAUAGUAUUACUUAUUUUUAGUUUAUCGAGUGUGUAAUUUUUUGUUCACUGGUAGUUUUUUAAUUGUUUUAUUGAUGUUCCAGAAUAAUCGGCUAUACAUUUUAAUUUUUAACUCUAUUUGUUGUAAUAUUACGAUUUUUUUUGUUUUUUUGUUUUAUGUUUUUUUUUGUAAAAUAUUUAAAUUUAUUUAUGUUUUUUUGUAAUAUUGAAAAUUUGGUGUUUGAACUGGAUUAGUACCCAGGUAAUCAAAAUUUAUUAAUUCGGGAGUAAAGUUUUGUUUAAACCGAAAAAAUAUUGACUGACUUUAGAUUUUUCUUUGGAAUAUGUGUUUUUUUGGAGAGCCCUCUUUUAUAGUGAAUUUUGUUGGCGCAUGUAUGAUUGUUUAGUUUUUACUUUUUUGGUAAUGCUUUGUGUUUUAUACAUUUAAAACAGAUAUAUAUUUGGCUUAUGGAUUUAUUUUUCAUGUGUUACUAUUGUUAAUUUUCUUUGGAUUAAUUUUUAAUUUUUUUGUUGAAAUUGGAAAAGAAAGUAAUUUUUUCUUAAUGUAAUAAUGAAUUUUAAUAAAUAAAGUGGUACAAACCAUCCGUCAAUGGCCUAAAGGGGCGUAAGUUGUAGUAUGGUAGAGGUAAGGAAACUUGUUUCUAUUUUUUUUUGG